RNAcentral lists this ribosomal RNA (479 nucleotides) under uncultured bacterium. RNAcentral describes it as "partial 16S ribosomal RNA". It matches the Rfam family "Bacterial small subunit ribosomal RNA", at positions 29 to 507 of the family's 1533-position model. The record is from RNAcentral.
AUGAACGCUAGCGGCCGGCCUAACCCAUGCAGGUCGAGGGGUAGAAGGAGCUUGCUCCUUUGAGACCGGCGCACGGGUGCGUAACGCGUAUGCAAUCUACCUUGUACAGGGGAAUAGCCCAGAGAAAUUUGGAUUAAUGCCCCAUAGUAUAUAACCUUCGCAUGUUGGUUAUAUUAAAGUUCCAACGGUACAAGAUGAGCAUGCGUCCCAUUAGUUAGUUGGUAAGGUAACGGCUUACCAAGACGAUGAUGGGUAGGGGUCCUGAGAGGGAGAUCCCCCACACUGGUACUGAGACACGGACCAGACUCCUACGGGAGGCAGCAGUGAGGAAUAUUGGUCAAUGGUCGCAAGACUGAACCAGCCAUGCCGCGUGCAGGAAGACGGUCCUAUGGAUUGUAAACUGCUUUUAUACAGGAAGAAACCCUCCCACGUGUGGGAGCUUGACGGUACUGUAGGAAUAAGGAUCGGCUAACUCCGUG